This 53-nucleotide transfer RNA is filed under the name Polypterus teugelsi. Its description in RNAcentral is "partial tRNA-Asn". Lineage: Eukaryota; Metazoa; Chordata; Cladistia; Polypteriformes; Polypteridae. The record is from RNAcentral.
CCUACAUACAUUUAAUUAACAACUAAAAGCUUAAACCGGCAAGCUUCCACCUA